UACGUAGGGUGCAAGCGUUAAUCGGAAUUACUGGGCGUAAAGCGUGCGCAGGCGGUUUUGCAAGACAGAUGUGAAAUCCCCGGGCUCAACCUGGGAACUGCAUUUGUGACUGCAAGGCUAGAGUACGGCAGAGGGGGAUGGAAUUCCGCGUGUAGCAGUGAAAUGCGUAGAUAUUAGGAGGAACACCAGUGGCGAAGGCGGCUUGCUGGACGACAACUGACGCUGAGGCGCGAAAGCGUGGGGAGCAAACAGG
RNAcentral lists this ribosomal RNA (253 nucleotides) under uncultured bacterium. Its description in RNAcentral is "partial 16S ribosomal RNA". It matches the Rfam family "Bacterial small subunit ribosomal RNA", at positions 524 to 776 of the family's 1533-position model. The record is from RNAcentral.